UAUUUGGAGUUUUUAGACUCCACAAACAGAAUUUAGAGUUAAUAGU
Non-coding RNA from Gossypium hirsutum (cotton), 46 nucleotides. The record is from Rfam. Lineage: Eukaryota; Viridiplantae; Streptophyta; Magnoliopsida; Malvales; Malvaceae.